AACGAACGCUGGCGGCGCGCCUAACACAUGCAAGUCUAACGAGAAACCUUGUAGCAAUACAGGGCGGUAAAGUGGCGAACGGGUGAGUAAUGCGUGGGUAACCUACCUUUAAGUUGGGGACUAACCCCGCGAAAGCGGGACUAAUACCGAAUAAGACCACAUUCCGGAAAGGGGAGGGGGUUAAAGGUGGCCUAUGAUCCCGCAAGGGUCAUGCUGCCGCUUGAAGGAGGGGCUCACCGUCCCAUCAGCUUGUUGGUAGGGAAUGGCCUACCAAGGCAAUGACGGGUAGCUGGUCUUAGAGGACGGCCAGCCACACUGGCACUGAGACACGGGCCAGACUCCGUACGGGAGGCAGCAGUGAGGAAUAUUGGGCAAGUGGGGGAAACCCUGACCCAGCGACGCCGCGUGAGGGAAGAAGG
This 419-nucleotide ribosomal RNA is filed under the name uncultured bacterium. Its description in RNAcentral is "bacterial SSU rRNA". It matches the Rfam family "Bacterial small subunit ribosomal RNA", at positions 29 to 414 of the family's 1533-position model. The record is from RNAcentral.